Molecule: ribosomal RNA, 350 nt
Filed under: uncultured bacterium
Lineage: Bacteria
Description: bacterial SSU rRNA
Rfam family: Bacterial small subunit ribosomal RNA
Source: RNAcentral
AGAGUUUGAUCAUGGCUCAGGAUGAACGCUAGCUACAGGCUUAACACAUGCAAGUCGAGGGGCAGCAUGUUGGUUGCUUGCAACCAACGAUGGCGACCGGCGCACGGGUGAGUAACGCGUAUCCAACCUACCCUUGUCCAUCGGAUAACCCGUCGAAAGGCGGCCUAACACGAUAUGCGGUUCACAGCAGGCAUCUAACGUGAACGAAAUGUAAAGGAGAAGGAUGGGGAUGCGUCUGAUUAGCUUGUUGGCGGGGUAACGGCCACCAAGGCGACGAUCAGGUAGGGGUUCUGAGAGGAACGGUCCCCCACAUUGGAACUGAGACACGGUCCAAACUCCGUACGGGAGCA